CAUGGCAAUGCUUUCAACAACUCUUCUUUAUUAAAUCGAACGCUAAUGUAACAUUACAUUGGCUUUUGCCAUUAAGCCAGUGAUACUGCACUAUUACGGCUAAUGGCUCUGUUGGUCAUUGCUUUGACAGAUCUGCCCAUAAAUACAGUGUGAGGUCUUGAGCUCCACGUUGCUCUAAUUACAUUGCCCAGGUCUUCAGAGUUGUUUAGGAUCUAAUGGGUCAAAGUGAAGUGUUAUUUAAGUGUUCUUACUUCCCAUCAGAUGCCAGCUGCAUCUCUAACAAUCCCCUUGUUGCCUUGUUGUUCGGGUGACUUUCCACAAACAAGCGGAAGUAAAGUUGUUGAGGUGAAAGUCUGCUGUCAGUGAUGUGAUCUGGCAGGGGAGACAUUCUCUAGAUGUGAGGCUUGGCCUUUGCUGUGAUGCCUGGGAAUUCUCCACAUUAUUGAAGUCUCAACAGCAGAAUUCAUGCAGGUGAUGAGUUGGGCCUAUAUCCUCCUGCAGUGCUUUGGGGUGCCAAAGUGACCUGUUAUAAAGGGCAUCCUCGUCAAGAUGUUUGUUUGUAAGACACUGAACCCCUCCGAGGGCACUACUACACUACAACCACAAAGCGAACUGCACAGGGAAACAACACACAGUGGUAAAGCCUAGAGUGUGACUCCACAGGAACCUGUGCUGCUUGUGCUGUAUUAAACACAGACUCAUCUGUUGUUGACAGAAUUCAAACCAGGCAACCCCACUAUGAGGACAAGACUUUUGAGAGGCUACAUGAGGUUACUGCACCAAGAUAUUGUUUGCUAACUUCUUUUUUGUUAAAUGAACAAAGUGGAACUUGUACAUAAUAAAGCUGUGUUGUUGUGGGCUUUUGUUGUUUUGUUGUUGCAGUUUCCCCUGCUUCCAGCCUUUGUGCUCAGCUAUGUAGGCUAAAAACAUCUUGGACCUACUGUACCUUACA
Molecule: long non-coding RNA, 952 nt
Organism: Thunnus maccoyii (southern bluefin tuna)
Lineage: Eukaryota; Metazoa; Chordata; Actinopteri; Scombriformes; Scombridae
Exons: 3
Source: RefSeq, a predicted model, not a curated record